This is a long non-coding RNA of Nematostella vectensis (starlet sea anemone), 1682 nucleotides long. RefSeq lists it as uncharacterized. The record is from RefSeq and is a predicted model, not a curated record. Lineage: Eukaryota; Metazoa; Cnidaria; Anthozoa; Actiniaria; Edwardsiidae. The transcript has 2 exons.
CCGAUAUCUUCAGUGUGUUUUGGUUUCAUUUCCCCGCUGUGAGGGCGGUCAAAUACUUAUCAGAGGUCAUCUUCAAGCUCAAAUACGGAGUCUGGACCGGUUGCUGGUUACUUCAGACUCGUAAAGUAUUCUGAAUACUCUUGCUUGCGCUUUUAGUUCAAUUCGAAGUGAUUGUACUCAACGAUCCUCACCGAUGUCUACGAAACAGGACUGGAAUUUCUUUCAAGAACAACUCGUUAAACAGCUAAAGCUGGUUCAAGAUGCUGGAUUUCUACUUUUAUGUACUUCAUGUGACUCUCUGUUGGAUAUAUCUGAGAAUCCACUGCUUACGGUAACUUAAUGAUUGAACAAGUACUGAUGCGCAGCGUCAAAACGACAGGAGGACUAACAAGAGAGCGCGGUAUGUCGGAGUUACAGCAUCUUACAUGGAUUAUGUCUAUGCCUGCUUGCACUGAAGUGAACCAUAGUUAAUUUUCUCACAAGCGAGCAGCAUAAAGAUACAUCUUAAGCAAGAAAAGAGAGGGAUUUCAAAGACACAAAUACGCCCAUUGACUAUUUGUCUCAAAAGGAUCCUUUUGCUUCUGAUUCGUCAUCUCACUGCGCUAAUAUCGCAACGGGCGUCGUCGCAGAGGCGCUUGUUAACUGUGACAAGUCUAGAGAGGAAGGCGAGAAGAUACUCAAGUCGUUGAACGGGAAAGAUGCUUGUUAGUAUUUGUUUCGUAAGAAGGAUCAAAUUGUAACUCUUGCAUCUAGGACGGCUCUACAGAUUAAGGACGGCGAGGUUCAAGUGGACCCCCAGCUUCUCUUCCAGAGGCUGGCCAUUCUUGCUACCACGAUAUGCGAUACGAGAACCCCUGAGUUUUUCGAAAUGUGCAGUCUCCCCCGGCCUUGUUUGAUUCGUCACUUCUCCCGCGGAAGGCUAACAAACCCGUACUAGCAGAUGCAAUCUGGUCUCGAAAGAAUUUCAACCUUCUUCAAUACAAGGUGGCGUAUGAUCAGUAUAAAAUACCCUUCCCUUAGUUUCACGAUUUUAUAUUUAUACAUCUUUAAUUUCCGGAACGUCUGCGCAAUAUGUCAUCGAUGGGGGAGCUUUGCUGCACCGUGUAGUCUGGCCACGAGGAGAAACGUAUGACGCCAUCUGUCUGCUUUACAUCAAGUACCUUCAGCGGAGGUACCGUGAAGCUACAGUUGUCUUGAUGGUUACAGCGAUAUACCAUCCACUAAAGAUAGUAAUCACCAACGAAGAAACGAAGGCGGCCCUGCUGUUAUGUUUGAAGGUGACAUGGUAGCGACUUUGAAAAAGGAUAUCUUCCUGUCAAACAAUGCCAACAUGUUGUCAAGCAAGCUACAGCAAGCCGGAUAUGCGGUUCGUCAGGCUUUGGGAGAUGCCGACGUCUUAAUCGUGAGUACCGCUAUCGAAAAGGCGAAGACCGAGACGACCGUCCUUAUUGGAGAUGACACGGAUCUGUUGAUACUCCUGAUAGAACAUACCGAGAUGGAUGCGAAGGACCUCUAUUUCCGUCCAGAACCACGACCAAGUGAGAAAGCUCCUAGAAUAUAGGAUAUCAAGAAGACAAAGGCAGCCCUAGGCCGUGAGACGUGCGUACAUAUCUUGUUUGCGCAUGCGUUUCUCGACUGCGACACGACCUCUAGAGUCCAUGGAAAUUGAAAAGGAGCGACUA